CGAGCGGGGAAAGGUAGCUUGCUACCUGUCCUAGCGGCGGACGGGUGAGUAAUGCUUAGGAAUCUGCCUAUUAGUGGGGGACAACAUUCCGAAAGGAAUGCUAAUACCGCAUACGCCCUACGGGGGAAAGCAGGGGAUCUUCGGACCUUGCGCUAAUAGAUGAGCCUAAGUCAGAUUAGCUAGUUGGUGGGGUAAAGGCCUACCAAGGCGACGAUCUGUAGCGGGUCUGAGAGGAUGAUCCGCCACACUGGGACUGAGACACGGCCCAGACUCCUACGGGAGGCAGCAGUGGGGAAUAUUGGACAAUGGGCGAAAGCCUGAUCCAGCCAUGCCGCGUGUGUGAAGAAGGCCUUUUGGUUGUAAAGCACUUUAAGCGAGGAGGAGGCUACCGAGAUUAAUACUCUUGGAUAGUGGACGUUACUCGCAGAAUAAGCACCGGCUAACUCUGUGCCAGCAGCCGCGGUAAUACAGAGGGUGCGAGCGUUAAUCGGAUUUACUGGGCGUAAAGCGUGCGUAGGCGGCUUUUUAAGUCGGAUGUGAAAUCCCUGAGCUUAACUUAGGAAUUGCAUUCGAUACUGGGAAGCUAGAGUAUGGGAGAGGAUGGUAGAAUUCCAGGUGUAGCGGUGAAAUGCGUAGAGAUCUGGAGGAAUACCGAUGGCGAAGGCAGCCAUCUGGCCUAAUACUGACGCUGAGGUACGAAAGCAUGGGGAGCAAACAGGAUUAGAUACCCUGGUAGUCCAUGCCGUAACGAUGUCUACUAGCCGUUGGGGCCUUUGAGGCUUUAGUGGCGCAGCUAACGCGAUAAGUAGACGCUGGGGAGUACGGUCGCAAGACUAAAACUCAAAUGAAUUGACGGGGGCCCGCACAAGCGGUGGAGCAUGUGGUUUAAUUCGAUGCAACGCGAAGAACCUUACCUGGUCUUGACAUAGUAAGAACUUUCCAGAGAUGGAUUGGUGCCUUCGGGAACUUACAUACAGGUGUCUUGAUGGGGGUUUUUUCACUCGUGUCGUGAGAUGUUGGGUUAAGUCCCGCAACGAGCGCAACCCUUUUCCUUAUUUGCCAGCGGGUUAAGCCGGGAACUUUAAGGAUACUGCCAGUGACAAACUGGAGGAAGGCGGGGACGACGUCAAGUCAUCAUGGCCCUUACGACCAGGGCUACACACGUGCUACAAUGGUCGGUACAAAGGGUUGCUACCUAGCGAUAGGAUGCUAAUCUCAAAAAGCCGAUCGUAGUCCGGAUUGGAGUCUGCAACUCGACUCCAUGAAGUCGGAAUCGCUAGUAAUCGCGGAUCAGAAUGCCGCGGUGAAUACGUUCCCGGGCCUUGUACACACCGCCCGUCACACCAUGGGAAUUUGUUGCACCAGAAGUAGGUAGUCUAACCGCAAGGA
RNAcentral lists this ribosomal RNA (1389 nucleotides) under bacterium 28W233. Its description in RNAcentral is "bacterial SSU rRNA". It matches the Rfam family "Bacterial small subunit ribosomal RNA". The record is from RNAcentral.